UACGUAGGGGGCAAGCGUUGUCCGGAUUUAUUGGGCGUAAAGAGCGUGUAGGCGGUUUUACAAGUCCGCUGUGAAAACCCGAGGCUCAACCUCGAGCUGUCGGUGGAAACUGUAAGGCUAGAGUCCGGAAGAGGAGAGUGGAAUUCCUGGUGUAGCGGUGAAAUGCGCAGAUAUCAGGAAGAACACCCGUGGCGAAGGCGGCUCUCUGGGACGGUACUGACGCUGAGACGCGAAAGCGUGGGGAGCGAACAGG
Molecule: ribosomal RNA, 253 nt
Filed under: uncultured bacterium
Lineage: Bacteria
Description: partial 16S ribosomal RNA
Rfam family: Bacterial small subunit ribosomal RNA
Source: RNAcentral